This 429-nucleotide ribosomal RNA is filed under the name Bacteroidota bacterium. Its description in RNAcentral is "Bacteroidetes bacterium partial 16S ribosomal RNA". It matches the Rfam family "Bacterial small subunit ribosomal RNA", at positions 355 to 776 of the family's 1533-position model. Lineage: Bacteria; Pseudomonadati; Bacteroidota. The record is from RNAcentral.
UAGGGAAUCUUCCGCAAUGGACGCAAGUCUGACGGAGCAACGCCGCGUGAGUGAAGAAGGAUUUCGGUUCGUAAAACUCCGUUGUUAGAGAAGAACAGCGCAUAGAGUAACCGUUAUGCGUGUGACGGUAUCUAACCAGAAAGCCACGGCUAAUUACGUGCCAGCAGCCGCGGUAAUACGUAGGUGGCAAGCGUUGUCCGGAUUUAUUGGGCGUAAAGCGAGCGCAGGCGGUCAAUUAAGUCUGGUGUGAAAGCCCCCGGCUCAACCGGGGAGGGUCAUUGGAAACUGGUUGACUUUAGUGCAGAAGGGGAGAGUGGAAUUCCAUGUGUAGCGGUGAAAUGCAUAGAUAUAUGGAGGACCACCGGUGGCGAAAGCGGCUCUCUGGUCUGUAACUGACGCUGAGGCUCGAAAGCGUGGGGAGCGAGCAGG